RNAcentral lists this long non-coding RNA (522 nucleotides) under Struthio camelus australis. RNAcentral's name for it is "lncRNA (ENSSCUG00000017202.1)". Lineage: Eukaryota; Metazoa; Chordata; Aves; Struthioniformes; Struthionidae. The record is from RNAcentral.
AGAGAGGAUAAAUAGCACCAUCCCUUGAAGUUCCUUUAGCCCUAUUUUUGUGUAGUUCUGUAAUGUCUCUGCCCCAAUUGCUCAUCCGCUUACAAUCAUCUGCUUCUUUCCCCACUUACAGGGGUCGGAAACAUCAUAGGCUCAGCUGCUGCUGGAUUCACCCUUGCCAACAUAUAGUGGAGUGAGAUGCUGGAGCAGAAUCUGAUUCAAUGGACAAUCUCAUCUGGUUGACAGAACAGUGGACAAGGGGAUAUCUGUUUCUGUUUCUUGGAUCUGCCAGACCAGAUGUAAGCAAUGGGACUUCAGAGUGUCUCCACCUACCCAGUUCUUGUUGCAUGCUCCAGCUGUCUCCCAGCUCCCGGAUGUUCAGUGGCCACUGGAAGGAUUGUGAAUUUUAGGCCUGCGCUGCCCAAGACGCAUGAAUCCAAAGAAAUAUGGUAUGCCUUCUUUACGCUUCACUGGCAGGAGGUAGGGAAUAAGGGGAGAGAAAGCUGCCAAAGAUAUUCCCUACCUCUUUUGGAG